This 665-nucleotide long non-coding RNA is filed under the name Gopherus agassizii (Agassiz's desert tortoise). Its description in RNAcentral is "lncRNA (ENSGAGG00000012862.1)". Lineage: Eukaryota; Metazoa; Chordata; Testudines; Testudinidae. The record is from RNAcentral.
CUGUACAUCAAAGAAACGUCACUAUAUGUGUAUACUCCUCUAUCAUCCACCAGCUGUCUUGGAAGUUGCCGCUGGCCCCUUCCCCAAUAUAUUGUUCUCCCAGUAUCUCAGCGACUUCAUUGAAGAUAUUUGACUUCUUGUUUCAACCUGGACCUCUCAGCAUAGAGGAGCAAGAGAAGGCAGAACUCUCUGAAAGAAUGAUCCUGACUGAUGAUAUGAAAUACUUGCCUGGCCCCAGACCUGCAGGGGCUGUGGCUUUGGAAAUACCUGAGUUUGGAAUCUCCCCAUGUUCUUCUCCACCCAGUGUAUUUUCAGAGGCCCAGCCUGAGGAAGAGGUUGCUGAAACUGAGAGUGAAUCCCCCAAUACAGAAUCACUACAUCAAAUCCCAAGCACUGAACAGCAGCAAAUCAGUGAAGAAGCAGACGAGGAGAGAACAAACCUUCUAACAGAGGGAGAUUUCUGUUUGGACAAAAGUCAAACUUUACAGAUGAAGAGAAAAACAGACAGUCCUCCCAGAAAUGAGUCACCUUACAGGUUCUUGUUGUCUCUGUUCUGAAGGUUCUGAAAAAAGGAAGAAAAAAGCUUCAAAGAGUGACAGAGUUCCAUCUGGCAAAGAAAAGGUAUUCUCCAUCACCAUAAAUGCUACAGUUGGUAUUAGUGGGGC